UACUGUACCAGUUUCUAGAAACCGUCCAA
This 29-nucleotide non-coding RNA is filed under the name Mus musculus (house mouse). Lineage: Eukaryota; Metazoa; Chordata; Mammalia; Rodentia; Muridae. The record is from RNAcentral.